GAUGAACGCUGGCGGCGUGCCUAAUACAUGCAAGUCGAGCGAACAGACGAGUAUCUUGCUCCUCUGACGUUAGCGGCGGACGUGUGAGUAACACGUGGAUAACCUACCUAUAAGACUUGGCUAACUUCGGGAAACCGGAGCUAAUACCUGCUAAUAUAUUGAACCGCAUGGUUCAAUCGUGAAAGCAGGUUUUGCUGUCACUUAUAGAUUGAUCCGCGCCCCACUCGCUAUUUUGUAAUGGAACGGCUUAACAAGGCAACGAUGCGGAGCCGACCUGAGAGCGAGAACGACUACACUGGCACUGAGAAACGGUCGCGACUCCUACGCGAGGCAGCAGUCGGGACUCUUACGCAAUGGAGGAAAGCGUGACGGUGCAAAGUCGCGUGAGUGAUGAAGGUCUUAGGCUCGUAAAACUCUGUUAUUAGGGAAGAACAAAUGUGUAAGUAACUAUGAACGUAUUGACGGUACCUAAUCAGAAAGCCACGGCUAACUACGUG
This 497-nucleotide ribosomal RNA is filed under the name uncultured bacterium. RNAcentral's name for it is "partial 16S ribosomal RNA". It matches the Rfam family "Bacterial small subunit ribosomal RNA", at positions 28 to 507 of the family's 1533-position model. The record is from RNAcentral.